ACUUUCAACAACGGAUCUCUUGGUUCUGGCAUCGAUGAAGAACGCAGCGAAAUGCGAUAAGUAGUGUGAAUUGCAGAAUUCAGUGAAUCAUCGAAUCUUUGAACGCACAUUGCGCCCCUUGGUAUUCCAUGGGGCAUGCCUGUUCGAGCGUCA
Molecule: ribosomal RNA, 153 nt
Filed under: Ampelomyces quisqualis
Lineage: Eukaryota; Fungi; Ascomycota; Dothideomycetes; Pleosporales; Phaeosphaeriaceae
Also listed under: 7 other names
Description: 5.8S ribosomal RNA
Rfam family: 5.8S ribosomal RNA
About the family: 5.8S ribosomal RNA (5.8S rRNA) is a component of the large subunit of the eukaryotic ribosome.
Source: RNAcentral